Molecule: non-coding RNA, 47 nt
Filed under: Sulfitobacter noctilucicola
Lineage: Bacteria; Pseudomonadati; Pseudomonadota; Alphaproteobacteria; Rhodobacterales; Roseobacteraceae
Description: SAM-SAH-Weickhmann-2018 RNA
Rfam family: SAM/SAH riboswitch aptamer
Source: RNAcentral
AUGUCACAACGGCUUCCUGACGUGGCAUUUUAAUUGGUAUUGGAGCU